UACGUAGGGUGCAAGCGUUAAUCGGAAUUACUGGGCGUAAAGCGCGCGUAGGCGGCUUUGCAAGUCGGGUGUGAAAUCCCCAGGCUUAACCUGGGAACUGCAUUCGAGACUGCAUUGCUAGAGUAUGGGAGAGGGAAGUGGAAUUUCCGGUGUAGCGGUGAAAUGCGUAGAUAUCGGAAGGAACAUCAGUGGCGAAAGCGACUUCCUGGACCAAUACUGACGCUCAUGUGCGAAAGCGUGGGGAGCAACCAGG
RNAcentral lists this ribosomal RNA (253 nucleotides) under uncultured bacterium. RNAcentral describes it as "partial 16S ribosomal RNA". It matches the Rfam family "Bacterial small subunit ribosomal RNA", at positions 524 to 776 of the family's 1533-position model. The record is from RNAcentral.